Long non-coding RNA from Aquila chrysaetos chrysaetos, 2011 nucleotides. RefSeq lists it as uncharacterized. Lineage: Eukaryota; Metazoa; Chordata; Aves; Accipitriformes; Accipitridae. The transcript has 2 exons. The record is from RefSeq and is a predicted model, not a curated record.
AGUUUAGAUCUUUUCUUGGCCAUUAGUCAUGUUUGGUAAGCCAUUUAAAUGAUUUAGUAAGUCUCUUUUAUGAGUUAUGCAUUGCUUAUUGUAAAGAAUGGCAUCGGAGUCUGCCCUUUCAUCAAUGUAGGUAUGUAUAAACCCGUAGAUCCAAAAAUGUUUCAGAGCUCCGAGCUAUACAGUUGUAUUGAAGGUCGCUGUCAGGGUGAGAUCAUGUACCAGCUCCUCCUGUGCAUUGUUUUUCUUGUGAAGAGAAUCUGCGUGUUUGGGCUAGACGGGAGCAGCAGCAGGCACCAGACAGAGAGACAAGUGCCCCGACACUCACCGGCUGCUUACUCCAGGCACCAGCCUCUGGCUCUCUCUUUGCCAAGUAUUGCGCAAGCAGGUAUAACACCGAAACUGAGCUUUUCAGAUCAAACAUUUUUCUCUGAAGACACAAACUUCAUGUGUGAGAUGUUACGAGCUCAGACCAGGUGCUGAGGCUAUUUGCAUUGCUGGGUCUGUCCACCUCUGCAGAGCUGCUUGGCAAAUAAUGUGGUCACAGUUUGGCGGUAUUUCAGGAAGCCAGCAGCACAGAGGCAUCUUGACAUCGGGGUGGCCUGUAUUUAGCAAUGAAUUAAAGUUUCAUUCUUCAUAUUAAGGGUUUCACAGAGGUUGCUUGCUGCUCUCCAGAGGAGAUGGGCAGCGGAGCUGUUCAGGAGAUGAAAGCUUGUUGCCAAGUAAUCUGUUCAGCAAAUAUCUGGGUGUGCCUUCAGAGUGCAAUGAUACCAUGACUGUUCAGAGGAAACAGCACUGAAAAUGUCUGACAAUGGUAAAGUCUCACAAACUUUAAUCUCACAAGCUUAUUACUUGCAAACUUAAUUAGGUAUCGCAGGGAAAUGCAUAAACCUGUUUACUUCUACGCUCAGAAGGACUUUUGUGACAUUUUGCAACAAUAUAGAGAUAGGCGGCACCUUACAACCGUUAUGUUUCAGUCUUGCUGUGUUUUCAGGAGGCACUAAGGUGGUCAGUGGAGAUACUUUUUCUCUUAGGUGUAAAGCUUUAAUUUUAUAUGUAUUCUAAGUAAACAGGAUUAGGUCUAAUUAACUGUAGUUAUCUUAAUUGUGAAUUAAUUUGCUAUCAUACCUAUGCUCUAAUUAAUGUCUUAAAGAAUACUUACAUUAAUAUUUUUUGGUCCCAUCUGCCCUGCUUUCCCUUGCAAAUAAAUAUCCACGUUAUAGUUAACAAAUUAGUGGAUGCUGAAGAAGAGAAUUGCCUUUUCUUCUGUGGUGCAGGUUGAUUUUGAAACCCAGAAGUGACAGCAGUGGAAGGGCAGGCACUACUAAGUUACAGGGAGUGCAUCCAUAUUCAGGUUGGGUUGAAGGGCACUUUCAAGAUCUCUCUCCCAGUCGUCCCCACUUCCGGGGCUUUGGCUGGCAUCAGACAGUAGUCUUGGAGUGCAUGAACUGGAUUCUUUUCAGGUGAUACUAAACUGAAAGACAAGUUGUAGCAUUCAGCCCAUGGGGCCAGACAGGAGAUAAUCUUAAGUAAAAUAUCAAAACCUGAAAUGUGUGUGCUGUUGGUGUCAAAACCUCUGCAUCAACAGUUUUACUCUAGAGUGGUCCACGCUAUUUGCUAAUGUAGACCUAGCUAAAAGGUAGCACAAACUAGAGUCUUUUUCUGUUGAUAAUUUCCAGGAAACUGGGAACAGAAAAUAUCCCUCAUCUAUAGAAAGACAGACCUCAGGAUUUGUACUUUUUCAGUAGUCAGAAAAGAAAUAGCAUUCUUGUGCAUUACUACUGAUUAUUUAAAUUGCACCAUUUGAAUUCCUGUGCAAUUGAAAGAUCAGAAAUGAGGAGGCCAGGAAAUAGUUUAAUCUGCUGCUCCAGUUUCUCUCUACUGCUAGAUAAUCAGUUUUUGAUGGAAAAUGUGGCCAAUGUAUUGUCUCCUUUAUAGUCAGCACUUUUGACUUCUUUAAUUUUAGUUUCCCCUGUUCCACUGUUCUUAAAAAAUAAAAUCAUUUGUAAUGAAA